UCCAUAUCAAGGUUAGGUAGUCUCUCUUUCUUCCUAGUACAACUCACGUGACACUAAAUUUCCUUGUGUUUUAAUGCUUAUUUGCAUAUGAGGUACGAUUUCCAUCAAAAUUGUUUAGAUUUGUUUCGUUGUUUUGACUGUAUGAAAAAUUAACUUAUCCAAUUCGAUUUAGUGAUUAGGGACUAUAGUGAUAUUUUCCCACUCAUCCCUGGAAAGUAAAUAAUUACUUGUUUUUUUUAAUAUGAACAGGUUGAUAAUAUUUACUUAAAAAAGAGAAUACUUUUGCUGAUUCUACAUGGGUAAUAUUGUGUCCUUUAUCUUUUUCUUUGAUCUAUAAUUAAACCCACUUUCUAAAUCUGCGUAUUAAUACUCGAACAAGUUACCAGAAUCAUAUAUGUAUAAACAAGAUUGUAAAAUUAUGUAACUUCCAAUAUACAUAAUACAACCGAAAUAUUAAUGAACUUCUUGUAGAAUCCAAAAUAGUUUAAUUAGAAUACUCACUGAAUUUCUUGUUAUCACUCGUCUUAUAUUUUCACUUCAAAAUAAUAUUGUAUUGUAAUAAUAAUAAUAGAUUUAUAGAGGGAGCUAGGGAGAAUAAUAAAGUAAAUUAAAGGGGAAGUGAUGAAUUUUCCCGUUACCGCUAGUUGAAAAUAGUUUUGCGGGGAAAUAAUAUAAUGCACAUGCAAUGGCGAUCCAAUCCCUUUGAUUACAAGAUCACACACCAAUCCACAUCUUGUUGCUGACUAGCUCUCGCAAACAAACAAAAAUCUACACAGAUGGAUGAAUUAAUGUGCAUCUAGUCGUUUGGAAUAAUUAUAUACUAAAAUUACUGACUCGAAUGACUUUGAUCUUUUAGUGAGUCUUUUUUAAAAAAAUUUCUUAUCGUACAUAUGGGAUUUUGUAAGUUAUCAGAAAUAUGUGAGGGCGUUCCACUCGACGGGCAUUCAUAAUGGCACAUUUAGAUGUUGUCUUUUAACAUACAACUCCUUAUUAACUCGAACAAAAUCGCAUAAAGUAAUAAUCGGGAAAGAGAAAUAAGUACACGCAUAAAGUGGAGAAAAGAGGGGUCGAAAGGGAAGAAGGUGCAGGGUGCAGACAGGUAGCUAGUAAGGUUGCGUGGCAGCAAGAUGGAGUAUAUUUAUGAAGGCAUGACGAAGCCCUGUAGUUGAAAACGGGAAGUGAACCAAGGACAGAACACUGCACUCUAGCUUCCUAGGCGAAGGGUAAAACAAAACAUAACAAUAAAUAUAACAACACCUGUCGUGGUUUUGAUGCCAUGGAUAUCAAAACCCACCAUUCCCAACUAGGUCAACACCAUCAACUGAAAUUAUUAAUAUGUUGUUUACAGAAGAUGGAUCUACGUUCUACAAAAUUUUACCCUUAUAAGACAGUGGCCGACAAGGUAUUCAUACCUCCACAUGUUUAAAUGUAACAGAUUUUCUCAACUUUGAUGUGUUCAUCUUUUAAAAAGACUUCUAGCAUAACCUUUUUUUUUAUAUCUACGUCUAUAAUAAUGAUUAUAUAUUUUCAGAUUUUAAAUUUUACCACCCCUACAUAAUUGUCCUUUUAAAUAUUUAAUUUAUAUUUGUAAGAUUUUAACCAAUUAAAUUUUAUUUUAAUAUCCCUCUUAUUUUAAUUUACUUAAUUUAUAUUCCCCUAACUUUUUUAUUUAAUUAAUAUCUGUUACAUACGAACUUGAAUUUGAAUAAUUUUUGCGCUAAAAAUUUAGUUUUUCGAAGACGAUUAAAAAAAUACAAAUCAUGAUAUAGUUUCGACGAACUUUUGCUUUGAUGUCAAACACGUGAGACGAUUAAAAACUAAAGAUUGACAUAAGAAUAACAACGUUAUGAGGAUUUACUAUCAACUAUGUUCGAUUACCUUUAUUUUUUUACAUAUAUAUGCUUAUCGGGUCUAAGUGUUACAUAUAUAUGCUUAUCGGGUCUAAGUGUUACAUAUAUAUGCUUAUCGGGUCUAAGUGUUACAUAUAUAUGCUUAUCGGGUCUAAGUGUUACAUAUAUAUGCUUAUCGGGUCUAAGUGUUACAUAUAUAUGCUUAUCGGGUCUAAGUGUUACAUAUAUAUGCUUAUCGGGUCUAAGUGUUACAUAUAUAUGCUUAUCGGGUCUAAGUGUUACAUAUAUAUGCUUAUCGGAAUAGCAAGCGCAUGAAAAACCAAAAGUGACACAUCAACUUUUACUACAAUCUGGUGUUGCCCCACUGAAACUAAGUAAAUUAAAAUACAUUAUUAUAGAUAUUGUAACAUUAAAUUAGAUGAUUGAUUAUAAACACUUGUUCUCUCGGUAUAUUAAGAUUGAACCUAAUAACUAGAUUUUAAAAAGAUAAAAUUUAUAUGUGUCCGCCAAACAAGAUAAAAUACUACUUCAAAUNNNNNNNNNNNNNNNNNNNNNNNNNNNNNNNNNNNNNNNNNNNNNNNNNNNNNNNNNNNNNNNNNNNNNNNNNNNNNNNNNNNNNNNNNNNNNNNNNNNNNNNNNNNNNNNNNNNNNNNNNNNNNNNNNNNNNNNNNNNNNNNNNNNNNNNNNNNNNNNNNNNNNNNNNNNNNNNNNNNNNNNNNNNNNNNNNNNNNNNNNNNNNNNNNNNNNNNNNNNNNNNNNNNNNNNNNNNNNNNNNNNNNNNNNNNNNNAUUUCACUCGAUAUACUUGAAAAAAAUAAAAAAAAUACAUGAUAGAUUCAAAAUCAUGUUUUUUAAAAUAACAAUUAUUGGAAAUGGAUUUAUAUGGCGUUCUGUACGAUAAUAAUUAUAUUCGGACAAGUAGUAUUAAUAAUGAUUGUCCCAGUGUAUGCCCCUGUAUAUGGACUAUUCAUGUUCAUUAUUGGGAUGUAUUUGCUUCAUGGUGAAUGCUAAAGUUGUGCAGUGUAAACAGUUAUACUGCCUUCUUAAUCAUUCAUUAUUUAACACUGUAAUUCAGUUUUUUGUCUAAUCAGUUGAUUCAAUCAAUUAACAUUUAUUCACUAUUACUCAUAUCAUCAACUGUUAAGAUGACGCUGUUUUUUGGAGUUACUCUAACUAUAAAGUCGUAGGUUGAAGAUUUGAAGAUUCUAACACACUUCACGAAAUAAAUACCAUUGUAAUGUUCAGUUAUGUUUUUUUUAUUUUGUACGAACAAUAUUUACCUAGAAAAAAUUCUAUUAGCAUAGUUUUCCAAAUUUGAAUGUAGAAAUUGGUACAUAUAAAAGUAACCAUUUUUUCCUGUUUUCUGAUUAAUAAUUUAAUAUAGAUUUUGUUCCAUGCCCUUGAUUUCCCUAGGGGGAUAAAAUGCCAACCAUCUCUGGUUUGCUUCUUCCAAAAUGUUCCAAACCAAACAUUUCGGCAGAGUCUCAUGGAUUCUGGAAAGCAGAGAUCGUAGGCAAUUUAAACUUACAGGGAGCAUAUAGAAUCUUUUAUUUUCUAGCCAUCGGAAUUCAGCUAUAGUAGUGCUAGUGCAUCACGAUGCUAAGCCAAUACGGAAAUGUAACUUCUUCCUCUGGCUAGCUAGUAGCGAGAUGGAAUCAUGCCGUUAAGAUCUGCAGACGAAGCUGGAUAUUGGUGACUGAAACUCUUGUGAUCUUCUUCUACAUCUACUCUGCUCUUCUUCUUUGUCCGAUGAGUCGGCUCUGGCGAAGAAGAGACAGAGGAAGAUGCAGAGGUGGUGGAAUCGUUGGAGCUAUCUGAACAGAAGCUCAAAUCCAUCACCCCAUUCGGGCUCCCCGGAAUCGAAUCCAAUGUCCUUCGCUUCUUCGAUUGAUGGAUGUUACCAUUUCCGCUUCCUGACGUUGUCAAUUCCAUUAUCAGCUCCCUGCAACCUUCCAUCUUUUCCUGCAUUCACAAUAUCCGGACCGGAAUUCAGAUUCCGUCCCACACCAAAAAUCAUCACGACAAUAAAGAAACUAACUACAUUAUACAUACCAAGUCGAUUUCCAGAACUGCCAACAACUUGGAUCGUUCCGUCCCAACAGAAGAAGAAUCAAUGUUGUUGAUUACAUGAAACAUCGUUGCCGCAGCCACUACUGAUGGCAGAUAACACAAUGACCUACAAUCUGCAAAUCGGAAAUUAUAAUGAGUUGAAUAAUAUAAGCAUAAUGUAAUUUUUGAAGUCUAUGAUGUUAUUUGCUUGCCUGAGACGAGGGAGACGAUGAUGAGCUCGCACCGUGAGACGAAUUCCCAGCAGAGAGAGCUCCCAAGCCCCAUCCUCCUGGUCAUGAAAUCGAGAAAGGAUAAUGGGGUAACAGGGUUCAUCCUCCAUUUGAGAGAAGAGAGCACCAGAAUCUCCAUUCUCUGUAUCGUCUUGGGUUCGAAAACAUACCUACACUCUUCUGCGACCUAAAAACAAAAAAGAAGGAAAUCGUUUAGGGACAAAUCAAUACAAGGAAGGAAACUCUUAGAUCGGCGAGUUAAUAAACCACCUGAAGGUCGAAGAGAAGAGGGACAUGGGUCUCCUCAACCUUAGCAGCGACGGAGAGGCAGGCGACGGCUGCGAGUUGAGUCAUCCACGGCUUGUCGGUCUGAAGAUGGAAAGUAACGAGGAAUCUGUCGAGGUAAUUGAGAGCCAAAACGGCGGUGAGGGUGGAGAAGGAGAAAUGGGUAUUGACGUUAAGGAUCCAAUCUGCAGCUUCGUGACGAGCUCUACCCAGAUUAGGUCGAGAAUGGAGCUCCCUGAACAAAGGGUUCUUCUCUUGUUUGGCGAACAGAGAUGUGAGUUCAUCCUCUUCCCAAAAGAACAAGUCUUUUUGCUGCUUAUCGUUAACAUCAGUAUUAUUAUCAUGAGUAGGGUGAGUGAGAGCUUCGGAGCAAUAGAGGUCGUCGUCAUGAAGAAAGGGUGGUGGGUUUGCCAUCUUCUUCUGAUGGGAAGAAGAGGUCUGGAUCUUGGUUCAUUAUUUGCAGGGAAAGAGAAGAGCUUUGUUUCCGGAUUGAAUCGCCAUUUUCUAGAGAGAGCUCUUUGCUGUUGGGUUGGGGGGUGGAUUUGGUAAGGGGUCGAUAUCGGAAGGAGGAAAAGAGGGAAGUGGAGAGUGAGCAGUGGAGCUUUAGGUGUCUGGGGGAGUGUUCUUAUUUGUGGGGGUUUGGAGGGGGGGGACUCUCUCUGAGUUNNNNNNNNNNNNNNNNNNNNNNNNNNNNNNNNNNNNNNNNNNNNNNNNNNNNNNNNNNNNNNNNNNNNNNNNNNNNNNNNNNNNNNNNNNNNNNNNNNNNNNNNNNNNNNNNNNNNNNNNNNNNNNNNNNNNNNNNNNNNNNNNNNNNNNNNNNNNNNNNNNNNNNNNNNNNNNNNNNNNNNNNNNNNNNNNNNNNNNNNNNNNNNNNNNNNNNNNNNNNNNNNNNNNNNNNNNNNNNNNNNNNNNNNNNNNNNNNNNNNNNNNNNNNNNNNNNNNNNNNNNNNNNNNNNNNNNNNNNNNNNNNNNNNNNNNNNNNNNNNNNNNNNNNNNNNNNNNNNNNNNNNNNNNNNNNNNNNNNNNNNNNNNNNNNNNNNNNNNNNNNNNNNNNNNNNNNNNNNNNNNNNNNNNNNNNNNNNNNNNNNNNNNNNNNNNNNNNNNNNNNNNNNNNNNNNNNNNNNNNNNNNNNNNNNNNNNNNNNNNNNNNNNNNNNNNNNNNNNNNNNNNNNNNNNNNNNNNNNNNNNNNNNNNNNNNNNNNNNNNNNNNNNNNNNNNNNNNNNNNNNNNNNNNNNNNNNNNNNNNNNNNNNNNNNNNNNNNNNNNNNNNNNNNNNNNNNNNNNNNGGAAAUGUUUUUUGUGGCAUAGAAUUUUAGUCAAUUGUGACAGAAGAAGAUGGUUAACGUUGUAUUUGAUAGUCAACUUAAUGGUCAAGUUCAACAUUGAUGAUGUAUCUUCGAAUUUGUCUUACACGGAAGCUCCACGUCAUAAAUAAUAAUUUUUUAUUGCAUCCAUAAAAUUACCGAAAAUAAAAAAUAAAAAACCCAAACAUCUCCUCCGUCGCAUCGGAUAAAUCUCCAGGAAAAAAAAAACAUUCUUCUAAAUAAUUGAUUCUCUUUUCUUUGCAACCCAAGAUCAUUGAUUCUCUUUGCUUUUCUAGAACAUUCUUCAGCAAUUCAAAAUCAUCAACUCUCUUCAUUUUCUAAUAUAUUCUUCUGAAUGUAUCCACUUUACCCUGAAAUAAGAGCUCUACAUCUGAAAUCAGAAAAAAUCUAAACAACUAUAUAAGCGAAUAUAGCAUAAACUUCCUACCAUAUAAGCUUUUGAGGGCCUUCCCCACACACUUAGCAGCCGUUAUUUUUUUUUUAACCUCAAUUAACAUCCCUCUUCUAUAGGCUUGACAAUAUUAUUCGAUCGGAGCGGGAAAUACCCAUAUUAAACAGGUUAUGGGGUACAGAGAAUACCCACUAUAAAUGAACGGGGACUGGUCGAGGAUGGGUUUAGGUACCCCGCCAUACCCAUACCCAUAUCCUGCCCAAUAUAUAAAACUACUCUACAACCCUUAUUUAAUAAUUACCAAAUUAAUCAUAAACCUAUAAUCUCUAAUUUUAUUUCCAAUUUAAAGCGACUUCAUAUUAUAACAAAUGUUUAAAAUUCAUAGUAAAUGUUUUAUACAUCAAUAUUUAACUUCACCUUGCCAUCUAAUUUUAAAUUUCAUGCAUCUUAAUAAUGUAUAAAUCUAUUAGAAGACUAUUAUUAUUUUUAAUUACCAAUGAAGAUAUUUUAACAUAUUUUUAAGUUCUUAUAUAUUUUCAGCCUUUUAAUGGUAACUAUUUUGAAAAUGUUAAUUUUAAGUACAACAAGUAAAGUGCACUUUUCUUUACCUCAUUCUACUAAUCUCUUCCUUAUUUGUGGUAUGUAUUCAUUAACUCAGGCAUCAAUUAAAUGUAUUCUUUUCCAAAUNNNNNNNNNNNNNNNNNNNNNNNNNNNNNNNNNNNNNNNNNNNNNNNNNNNNNNNNNNNNNNNNNNNNNNNNNNNNNNNNNNNNNNNNNNNNNNNNNNNNNNNNNNNNNNNNNNAAUAAUACAUUAAUACAUGUAUAUCUAUUUUUACUUUUAAAUAUACAUUUUUGUCACAAUGUUUUAUUUUUCAUGUUAAAUAUUUAAAGUUACAUUAAAUUUUAAAGUAAAAUGUACAUUAAUGCAUGUAUUUCUAUCGUUCCUUUUAGAUAUAAAAUUUAAUAAGAACAUUUUAUUUCCCGGAUUUCUUAAGUCAAGUAUUUAAAGAAAUCAGAUUUUAAAAUAAAUAAUAUAUUGAUGCAUAAUUUAUUAUGGAUACCGAUAAUGGCAAAUGACUAAUAUACAUUUUUAACAUUCCUCCAAAUAUAUAUAUCUCUAAAAAGUUUAAGAAUUAAAUGAUUUCGUGAUUAAAAUAAAGAAAAAGAUUGACCUGCUAAUCAGAAUCGGGUAAAAACCAGAAAGAGAAAACAAAAAAAAUUAACAAACUUUGAUUUGAAUAUUUACCUUGAGUAGGAACAAUGCGGUAGGCAUGCCCAAGAGCUAGAGUAUGAGUAGGCCUGAAAAGCUUAACUCGAGUGAACUGAAUUAUUGGCGGCUACAAAUUCUAAUCUACCGGCAAAGAAGAAUCUUGAGAAGGAAGUGGAUGAUGAGAGAAACGUAAUGACCAGAGUUUGGAGUCAUAAUUUCGCUGACGAGUACAAACCAGUACAUCCUUUCAAUUUUUCCGCAUGAAUGCUAAAAUGGAGGGGGAGGUAAGAUUGGAGGUGGAAGAGAGCGGAGGUGAGUGAGAGGAGUCAAUGAUGAAAACUAUAACAGUUUUUAUAAAAAAGAAUCAAAAUCUAAGUUUGUAAGAGCUUAAGAGUCUAAAGAUAAGGGUACGAGUAGGGAAAAUCUAAUGAUGGUGAAAGAUCAUGGUCCACAUUCGGAUAUUUGGGGCACAUCUUUGCCCUUGUGAUGGACCUACAUGUUGUUUUUAGUAGUGUUUUGUGGCCACGUGUCAACAUUUUAGCUAUAAUCCUCAAAUUUCCGAAGAAAUAUGAAAAGUCAAUUGACAACAUCUUUUCGUAUUUGAUCCGAAAGAUCGACGACGAUUCGGUUAGAGCUGGUAAAUGGGUAGUACUAAAAGAUCGAUAUAUGAGAGGGAGGUUAUUGGGUUAUUCCACAUUAAAAAGGGUUGAAUGUUGUUUACAAGUGUGAGGAAAACCUCAUCAUUCGAGCUAACUUUUUAAGGUGACAAGACUCAAUAACAUCCAACAUCUUUUACAAUAAAUAGUAAACCGUAAACAAUAACUCUAACAUCCUAAACACUAAAUAAAAAAACACUAGAUUAUAACCUAAUCAUGGUGUUUUUCCAUGACAUGGUCAUAUAAUAAUGCCUAACAAGUAAUCCAUCUCUCUCUAUAUAUGGUAAUGAUUGAAGAGGAGCAAUAUGGAAACUGAAAGAUCACAAAUUGACAUUAGUGAUCUAGCUAAUAGAAUAAGGUACAUAUAGGACAAUGCAAAGGCUGACCAACUACUGUAAAUUAGUACACUACUUCUUCCACUCUUUUGAUUUUUUUUCCAGACAAAAGUAUCAAAAAGUCGUUGCGGGCUGUUGCUCCUAACCAAGCGUCGUGAUUUCUAUAUGAUGAUCUUCUUGUUUGCUAGCAAUUACGUAGUGGCCAGUGAUUACAGUUUCGAGCUAUAUGUUGGUUACUGUGUGAAGUCAAAGAGAAUAGGUAUACGGGGAAGUGGAAAAUGCGUGGACGUGAGAGUAUUUUGUUAGGCUAAUGAGUUAUUUAAUGUGGUAUUUGAUGAUGAAAAUGUCAUAUUUUCGAAAUAUCACGAUAUUUCAAAUAUUUGGAGGGUGAAAUGAGUUAUUUUAAAUACGAUAAUUCGAAAUGUCAUAGAGUUUGUUUUGAUUACCGAACGAAUUGUUUUAAUGAAAUAUUUUAGAAUACCACAUAUUUUAGAUUUGAUGUCAAACAAAUUAUUUUCACUUAAAUAAAUUCAGAACGAGCUAAUUUAGACAAAAAAAAACAUCACCCAAAUGAUCCUACAUCCUAUAUCUAUUUCCUUUUGCUUUUCUAAGUUACAAAACCAAGCAUCCUUUUUCUUUUGGCUUUGAAAAAGGAGGCAAAUACAAAGAGGAGGAAGAAGAAGAUCAAGAUCAAAGUCACCAUCUUAACAGAAGGAGAAAAAAGAAGACAGAGUCGCUUUGAGAGUUGGAAUGUAUAGUAGUAAUUGACAGAUGCUCUUCUUGGUGUUUAAGAAAUGAGUGUUACUGUUCGAAAGUCCGGAAUGCACGAUCAUUUCGGCCUCCUAUGAUGGCAUCAUCAAUCUCACCCGAAAUUUUUCUAACGGCGACAUCACUAAAUGUGGUGUCCAUCGAAGGGAUUCUUCGUUAUAAAAAGAAAGGAGUGUUACUAUCGUGAUGGAUGAAUGUUGUCCAGCUUGUGUGUAUAAAGGUAGAGCUGUUGUUUGGGAUGGCUAUGAUGCUUCAUAUUGACUAUCGUUGGCACCCAGUUACUGCUCUUUAGUACUCCUUUUGAAAUCAUGUUCUCAUUUCUUUUCUGUUUUUGCCCAUGACAUUGCAUCUUUCCCUUUUUACCACUUUUACUCUGUAUACAAACACAUCCAACAAACUAGAUGAUUGCUACUAACUUCCCACUUUAAAUUAUACAAACAAAACGAGAUAAUCAUAGGACUUUGGGGAAAAGCUAUGAUUUCUGUACAAGCAAAUGUGAGAACAGAGAGGGGCAAGGAUUGAAGUCAACAAAAGUGGGGUUCAUAUUUCAAUCAUUUUCUUCAACCCCCCUUCCCUCUCUGCAUAAAAAUACAGUGAAGAGAGGGAGUUAGUCAAGGAUUACAUCUAACCAUAUUUGACAAACAAGACCAUUACCGAUUUCUUACAUCACACUCAAUCAUCUCAUGUUCAUGUAUAGAAGCAGUUGCUCCCCAGUUUCAAAUGUUCCUCGAUGAACCUAUCUGCGUGGGACGGGUACUUAUGUCGAAUGUAUGUCCUCAGGCACUUCUGAUACGAGAAGUCUAUCCACGCACCAUCAGUUCUCACAACAAACAGGCACCUCGUUCGUUUGAACUGGGGAUGGCAAUCUACCUGCAAUACAAAAGAGAUUGAUGAGAUUGUCACAACUUUCUCGCAAUCCAAUGCAACAUCAGCGUUGAACGUCACAUGCACUCAGUACAUCAAAUGUUUGAAGCAUACAAUACAAUAGGAGCAGUUAAGUUCCAUAGGGGUCGCUGAGGGUCGUAUGGAGAAUUAAAGAGAUGAUUCUAUAUGUUAAAGGUAAAAGAAGGAUGCUCCUAGUCAAAAGCUUUCAUCCACCAGUACAGCAGUGUGGCCCAAAAAAAACCCCCCAGUAACUUUCAGGCGCAGGUGCAUGUGAAGAAAACCAACAAAGCCACAUUAGGACAUGUAUCUAUCAAUUACUGUCCAGUGCCUGUCAACGGUUUCGAAAAGGGGGGUGGGGGUAAAAUAAUGAGAACUGGCAUCUACUAAAAGCGGGAGACAGCAAUCAAAACAAAGUCAAGCCAGAAGAAUUAAACCCAGUUAUCAACUACAGUUUCAUGAUCUAUGAUACGAUUUCUCACAAAAGCCUGAUGUUUGUUAAACAUCUAUAUCAGCUAAACAAAGUCUCCCACCCUCAAGCUACAUUCUGAUUUCUGAUGCCACAAGUUGUUAGAUUCAUCUAAAUCGAGAGAGCAUGCUGUUAGAUUCAUCAAGACACCAGUACAUGCGUAAAGAAAAGUAUAGAUUCAUAAUAACACUGACAAGUGUCAGCUCUGAGACGUGAGUACAAGCUAGGAUUCCCUCCAAGCCGCCAAGCCCAAUACAAGAAGAGAAAGAGAUGGUAAAGCCCACCAGUGUAACAGUCAUCUCACUUUGAGCAUGGAAAUAACCGGCCCACAAAUAAGGUGGAGAAAAUCGUCAAUUAAAAGCAUGAUAAUGAUAAAACCAACCUAGAUGCAACAUACAACACAAGCUAUGAUCUGUCUGAACGAACUCUAUAGGCAGUACUUAGAGACUGUUAGCUGUAAUGUUCUUGCUCCUACUAAUGACGAAAGUACCACCAAACAACCGAAGGUAUCUAACAAGAACUCAAUGGCGUUUAUAGUAGUUCUCUAGUUGUUCACUUGUCUAUGCAUUUCAGGUCAUUCUGCUAUCUAUCAUUUGCUUCUACACGCACCACACCUAAUCUCCAUGCCCAUGGAUACCUAAUGUUGACUCUUGUUACGAACGUAAGCUUCACAUCUAUGGGCAUUUGACCACAUCAUUCUCGCAGCAAUUCUAUACAAAAAAAACUAUUCUAUAGUAUCCAGGACCAAACAACAAGAAAACUUUGGAGAUAUUUCAUCAACUGUCAUAGCCACUCUGAACCAUAUAGACGGAUGCAUUGACAAAUAAUGCAGGGGAAAAUAAUGAAAGGAAAUAAGUGCAACGAGAAGACAUUGGAGAGCGGGAACUGUGUGAAAUUGACAAAGAACUCUGGAGUCCUUCAUACACUAAAGGAUAUCCCAUUUAUGUAGUUCUACAUAGUGCACGGCAAACCUCUUUGCAAUAGACCAGUGGUGCAGUAUCUUUCAUUUUGCAUUCAAAAGCGAAGAGUAUAGGCACAAUCAAAAUAGGCGCAUUCCCUUUGCAGAGAAUUUUAUAAUUUGUUGAACAAGCUAAGUUACUAGACCAUCGAACUUAUGAUUCAAAGAACGAAGCAACAAAAACUUACCAUUAUAGAAUCGAGCCCGCAUCCAAUUUUGUCUUCUGAGUUGGGGUGAUAAGUGAGAAGCUUCUGCACCACAGCUUUGGCAUCUUCAGCUUCUAGCCGCGCUCCAUUGCAAUAUCUGAAAGCCAAACAACAUUGCAACCGGAAACUAAUUAACCCUUGGGAUCCAUUACAUGAAACAAACAGACCUUUUACUUAAAAGCGAAACUACAGAAGCCAUAAGAUGCAAAUGCAGACAAUUAGGCAACUUGACACUCAUUUUUACACUGUCAACGGCUGUGGAAUUUACCAAAAAUGAAGAUGGAGAGAACUUUGUCUUAUAAUGAAUGAAACGACCUUCCAACAAAUUCUCCAAGCUGCAAUCAGCGGCGCCGCUACUAGUUGUCGGUUUCCACCACACUGUUUGAUGCAUUUUUAUUGAAAUAAAAAGAAAGGAUGAAGGCCAGAGAUAUAUACCUAUCAGAGUGAAGAAUUCUUUUUACAAGAAGAAUGGUAGGCUUGACGUCUCUUAGAAUCUCAUCCUCCUUGUCUCUCCAUUUCCUGUAAUCAGGAUCCUUGACGUUGAACCAUUUGGCCCGUUUCUUAGCUCUGGGUGCGGCUGUGAUCUUAUCAGGAACAGAGAUAUUAGGGAGUGGCUGAGUGGAGUCAGAGGGAGUGGAGCACAACGUUCGCCGUAGUGGAGGCGGGAGAGCAGCAGCAGCGAGGCGGUGGUAAUGGAGACGAAGUCGCAGAAUCGGAGUGCCCCUGAGGAGUAGCGAUGCGGCCAUUUGUGGCCUUGGCCUCUCUUCACAGUGGAGGGCAAUCCAAAUCAAACUACUAGAGUGGUAAGGUGGGCACAAUCACUUGGCCAACUUACACUUUUGGUACCUCAAGUUCAGAAUCAUUGUUCUUCGGUCAUUUCUCUUCUGAUAAAAUCUUGUUUUUGCAAUGUAUGGGAUUAUUGUGCAAGCUGCAACCAUAAAGGUGUCAACUUCGAAUUCGGAUCAUGGAACUCAAUUUAUUCAUCCAAUCAAACAACUCGAAAUAAAUCUUAGUCUUUCAUUGUUUAAUCUUUGAAAUUUGUAGCGGUAAAGAUGGAAAUUUAUCCCUCUCCUCGUUCGACCUCCCAUGUAACCCGUCGGACCUUCGUCGUUGUUGGUCUUCAAACUUCCGUUUGUCGAACCUUCGUAAUCGUGGGCACGACUUGCAGGCUGGCACGUCGUGUUUUUGCUUAAGGCCAUUAGAUUUGUAGGCAGGGUCUGCUUGCCCCCUUUGCAGCUCAGUCCAAAAUUUAAUUUUGAGUGUGUCUACUUCAUUUAACUUCUAUUCGAACUAUAUUUUAAUCCGUUGAUCUCAUAAUUAAUCCGUCUAUCAUGGGGAUACCUAUAAUCUAAAAGAAUACUCAAAUAAAGCCCAUCAAAUGGUCAAAAAUAGCCAAUUUGAAAGAUAUUUAACUAGAUUGUGGCACUAAUCGGACAAAUACUACGUAAAUAUCAUCGAAUCAAUCACUGAUGCCAUUUAAGUAGGGGAUAAGAUCACUAUGUUUCCAUGUGACAUCACAAACCAACUCAUCUUCUCGUAUGGGAUCGCCGAAAGCGACAAGCUGGUCAAAUAGCGCCUUGCCCGGUUGCAGAUACUGAUGAGCCGGGUUCGCGCCGCGAGCGAUGCUAUGAAGAGAUUCACGAAGCUGACAAAUCUGAAUCCUCGAGCCAAAGAUUCCCCAGAAGCAAGGGUCGUUCUGCGCGAGCGAUGCUAUUAUUCACUCUUGUGUAUACAUACAUACUCUGAAGAUAACAGAGAGUUGCUAUUUCUAAGAGUCAUCAGUAUACCAGAUUACCCAAAUAUCAGUAGCUGCAUACAAUAUGGGUUUGAACUUUGAACCGGUCAACGAAAAGUCAUCGGCCAGCCGCCGGAUAGUCGCCGGCGACAGAGGGCUGUUUUAAAUUUAAAAUUUAAAAUACCCCACAUUAAUUCAUUAGAAAGAUUGUAAAAUAUAAAAUUAAUCUAACGGCCUACAAUAAUCCUUGAAGUUCUUGAGUCUGUGGACUUCUUAAAAUAAAUGCGCUCCCAACUGUUCCGUUCAAAAAGAUUAAUACGGAAAAAGCAGUAAUAAAUACUUUUCCUAAAAGAAGGGGUAAAAAACAAAAAACAGAAGAAAAAAAAAAAGCAAAUAAGAAAUGAAAAGCUGAAAUGGAAUGAAGUUUGAGAUCCGGCUCUGAACAUCACGAAGAAGGAGGACCAACCAAACAUUUCUCUCGCUCUUCUGAUGAGGAAGAAGCACGACCAGAGCAGCAACCGGAGCUUCCAUAGCCUCACUGCAGUGGUGGUCAUGGUAAAUAUAUAGAAGGUUCCGACGCUCUGCAAUCUACUUUUUGAUGGGCCAGUCUAGUUCCACGGCUGCCGUCGUCAGCCGCCGGGAUUCUAACUUCAGCCACCGCUUCAAAUUCAAACCAUCCUUCUCCUCCACCUCUCCUCCACCGAUGAAGGGCGAAGAGGCUAGUGAUUUCGUGGUCUUCGAAGAGCCAGACUAUAUCUCGGAUCUGCCUGAUGAGUGCUUGGCUUGCGUUUUCCAAUCACUUAGCUCCGCUGACCGAAAGCGAUCCUCCCAGGUCUGCCGCCGGUGGCUCACGAUAGAAGGCCAGAGCCGUCACCGUCUCUCGCUCUACGCGCAGGCCGAUCUCCUCCCGCUGAUACCGACCUUGUUUAGUCGCUUCGACUCGGUCACCAAACUCGCUCUGAAAUGCGAGCGUAGAUCCACAAGCAUCGGUGACGAAGCGCUCACGAUGAUCUCGCUUCGAUGUAGGAACCUGACGCGUCUCAAGCUCCGGUCUUGUCGCGAGAUCACCGACGCUGGCCUGGUAGCUUUACGGAGCUUUACAAUGGACAGUGUUUUGGGCCGCUUAUCAUUGACUCAAAGAAUCUGAGGACUUUGAAGCUUUUUAGAUGCUCUGGCGAUUGGGAUAAGGUUCUACAGGUGAUUCCAGAUCGGGUUUCCGCUUUGGUGGAGAUCCAUCUGGAGCGGCUCCAGGUUAGCGACGCCGGGCUGACGGCGUUGUCUAAUUGUAUCAGUCUAGAGAUAUUGCACCUGGUUAAGACCCCAGAGUGCACGAAUUAUGGCUUGAUAUUAGUUGCAGAGCAAUGCAAGCUCUUGAGAAAGCUUCAUAUUGAUGGAUGGAAGGCCAACCGGAUCGGAGAUGAUGGACUGAUAUCUGUUGCUAAAAAUUGCCCCAACCUGCAGGAAUUGGUUCUUAUUGGAGUCAAUCCCACCAAGAUUAGUAUAGAGAUAUUAGCUUCAAACUGCCAAAACUUAGAGCGACUGGCUUUGUGUGGCAGCGAUACUGUUGGUGAUGCAGAAAUAUCUUGCAUUGCAGCAAAAUGCAUAGCAUUGAAAAAGCUUUGCAUCAAAAGCUGCCAUGUUUCGGAUGAAGGAAUGAGAGCUCUAGCAAAUGGAUGCCCCAAUCUGGUGAAAGUGAAGGUAAAGAAAUGCAGAGGCGUAACUUGUGAUGGCGCAGAUUGGUUAAGAUCAAGUAGAGAAUCACUAGCGGUGAACUUGGAUAGCGGUGAAGCAGAACAGCAAGAUGCAAACGGUAGCGAUGGUGGUGGGGGGCAGGAAAAUGGUGUUGAAUAUCCUCUCGUCCCUAACCAAAUUCCUCAAGCACCUUCCAUCGGUAAUGCAUCAGGUAGAACUGCAAGAUCAACUUCUUUCAAGGCAAGGAUGUUGAGUGGAAGGAGUUUAGUGGCUUGCACUUUGAGAAGAUGGUCAAGUGGCAAUGGCACUUCUCGGGGCUAAGGAAGGAGGCUUGAGAUUAAAGCUUCACAACAUAAUCAGCAGCUCCUUGAACUGUUUGCUUUUCUCCCCUUUUUGUAUUGUGUUAUCUGAUUUUGUGUUUUUGUUUAUGUAAGCUGAAAUCCGAUACUGUGUGUUGUUUAUUGCUUUCGUAUUAUCAAUUGAAUAUUUACUGCGAAAAACAAGUGACAGGAGGAACUAGUUGGUGAUACGCUUCACCUAACUCUGUGUUGCUUGUGCAGUAAGUUUCUCAACCAAUCAAAAGUGUGGAUCUUUUUAUGGUUUUACUUUCCCUGUGUAUGGCAAUGCAUCGUCGGAAGUUGGAAAUCAUCCGUUGUGCUGGCUUCAGAGCUUUCAGCUAUCGAUUCUCCUUUGCUGUUCUGUUCUGUACGAGUCAAUAAAUUUUCAGUGAAUCAUAAGUAUACUGAUCGAUUCGGAUGAAGUUACUGUCCUCACCUUGAAUGAAGUUUGAUUACAUUGCCAUGAGUAGCAACUAGCAACAAACAUCUCCCGACUCGGUUUACUUUGAUCCAUUGGCGGGAGCCAGAAGUCCGGGGCGAGCUCUGUUUACUUUCGAAGUUCGAAAAGUCGAGCCGCGGUUGGUUUGUGUAGUAUUUAUUUAUGUUCAAAGUUCAAACAGCUGGGGUUAGCAGAAUCUCGUGUUUUCUUCCUCAUACUUUUCCAUGCUUUCUAGAAAGCAAAAGAGAAAAAGAGACUUAACUAAAAAAGGGACUGGAACAGUGCUGACAGAACAAUGAAACCUUUUUUUCUCUUUUGCCAAGCCACGAUAUGGUGAUGUGGUGAAAGCAAAACCAAACUACACCAACGUUACAAGACCAAAAAUACUAAACUUCCAAUGAAUUAGGAUGAAACCCCACACAGCCAUCAAUGUCAAUUCAAAAAGGUUACUAGCAGAGAUGUCAAAACAACUGUAUCUUGUAAGUGUAGAGCUCCCCCUGAAAGAUGACAACAAACUCUAAAAUUUGACAAGUUCCUGACUCCAUCGCCCAUAUUUGAUUAAUUUUUUUGUAUGUAUGGAGUAGGGGUAACGCUUCAAUACAUGCAUUCCACCCCACCAGACCCGUUGCACCUCUCUUCUUGGAGAGAGUAGCACAAAUAAAAAAGUGAUCUUUAAACACGGCGACCUUGGAGCCGUUUAAGAAUCAGGAACUGAAGGUGAGCGAGAGGGGAAUUAUUUUGUUAACUAAACACGAGCUGUACUAGUUUUCACGAAUUUUCUGAAGUUGUAUCUCUCUAUCAUUCACGUGCAAAUGAUUUAUAUAUAUGUGAGUUUGUAUUCUCAUAGUAACUCUUGAGUAAUACUUGUUUAAUUUUAUCGGGUUUGUGUGUUCAGUCAACGAUUAUUUAUUGCAUCAUAAUUCUCUUAUCAAACCACAUCAUAAGUUGAACUAGUGAUUUAAAUGGAGUCCGUUAUAGGAUGGGGUGGCCAGUGGGACAAAUGCAAUAUCAAACGAUCCUCCCAAUCCAUCCAAUGGAAAUGCAGUUCGGCUUGGGUGCAGAUUAAGCAUCUGUCAGCACACGUUGAUGACUUAAUCUAACGGUCAAGGACGGAUUGAAGAGAACGAACAGGUAGGGGAAAAUAUCGGGGGUCAUUCCUUUUAAAUGCACGUUCAUUCUUUCUGUCCAUUCUCAUACAGAAUCGUAUUCCAUUGACAAGAGAAAGACUACACCGACUCCAAAUUUUUUUAAUUAUAUAAAGAACUCUUCGAUAGACACCACACUUAGUGAUAUCACCAUCAGGUAAACACUGAAGCUAACAAUCGUUAGCUCGCGUGAGACCGGUGAUGCCAUAUCACAAGGACGCCAAAACUUAUUGAUGUCUAAUUUGUCAGAGUGAUCCGUAGCGUUUAGGAUGAGUUGGAGAUGUGAAUUAUUGAGCAAAGGGGAAGGACCAUGAGGCAGCUGGGGGGAGUGGGGAGGAGGCAAAAAGUUUGGUAGGGACACCAUCAGCAUCAAGAAGCUGUAUGAGGACACACCCUAAAACAACAAAGGGACGGGUCCUUAUACCAAGUUGAGGGGAAGUUGUCUGGCUCAGUAAUGACAAUACCCAAUUCCAUAACUCUCCCCUAAAUAUCAUCAUAUUCUUAGUAGUGAGAAAUUAUGGAUGGCAAGUUGGAAGCGAAAAAUGUCGUGAAAUCUUAAUCGUAAGAUUCGAUAUUUUGUUAUAAUAGCAAAUAUUUAAACAUUAACCUAACAAAAAUAUAUAUAAAGUUAUUAGCUGUUGAAUUAGGUUCAUUUUUGAAAGUCAAGAUUUGAAAAUAAGAGUGACAGACCAUUUUUGAGUAGCCAUUUGAAGAAUAAAAUGCACUAAUUUGAUAUUAUUAAUGUUAUUUUAAUUUUCAUUUAUUACUAAAAAUCUAUCAAUAAGACAAAACAAAAACCUAAGAUGUUUUACUUAGAAAGAAAAAUCGCAAAAAAAAUAAAUGAUUUUUAUAAAAUUUUAAGAUUUCUUUUAUCUAAUUUUACCAACCAUCAAAUUUGAAAAAAAUCAGAAUCAUUAAACACCAAUUUUAAUCGUAAAACCAUAUUUAAAAUAAAAAUCACGAUUUUGACUAUCUUGAUCUGUUUAUCUUUUCCUCCUAUAAAUUCUCUGCCGAACGAGUUCUAGUCAGCCCUUUUUCCUUCUUCCCCGCCUCUCUCUCUCUCUCUCUCUCAUAUUAUUGCUGUUGGAAAAUGGAAGGUGGAUUUCCACUGCUUAACUGUUUUCUGCAGUACACAUUGAGGAGUUUGUGUUCAUCUUCAUCAGAUUCCAACUCAUCCAAAUGGGUAUAUGCUGUGUUCUGGAGAAUAUUGCCCAGGAAUUAUCCACCUCCUAAGUAAGAAAACAUGACUUGGGAUGUUAAGCUGCAUUAUUUGUCUUUUCUUUUUUAUGUUUUUUGUUUGGUUUCUUCAGGUGGGAUCAUCGUGGAACAGCUCUUGAUCGCUCCAAAGGAAACAAAAGAAACUGGUAAUCUUUCUGCAAAAGGACACUUGUUUUGACUUACAGGUUCAAGUGCAGAGUUUGCAGAGUUUCCAUAAUUGGUUUGUGUGUUGUCCAGGAUGCUAGUCUGGGAAGAUGGCUUCUGUGAUUUCUUGGAAUGUGAGAGGCAAGGAAAUGGAUACAAGUUUGGAGCUGAUGUGUUCUUCAAAUUGUCUCAUGAAGUAUAUAGUUAUGGAGAAGGGUGAGUGUGCAUGACUAAACCAUAACUUGCAUGAAUGUAGUAUUCAGAGAUAUGUUGUAUUCUAUUCUAAGUAGUAAGUAUGGCUGCAGAUUAUUAGGGAAAGUUGCAGCAGAGAGGAGUCACAAAUGGGUUUUCAGUGAAUCAACCAAUGAGCCUGAUCCAAAUCCCACCUCCUCCUGGAAUAUGGCACUUGAACCUGUAAGUAAGAAUCAUAAUCAUAAUUUUUGGAUGUUUUGUCGGGAUAUAUUUGUUAAUGAAUACUAUAAAACCUAUCAGAAGCCUCUUCCAACAAUUCGAAUUAUUGGGAUACAACGAUUCUUGACAAUAUCUAUAUCUUAGAUCGUGUGGUGAUCUCAAUCUAACAUGAGAUAUUUCCACAGCAACCAAGAGCUUGGGAAAGCCAGUUCCACUCAGGCAUUCAGGUAGGCUACUUGUAAGUGAAGUAACCCAAACCAGUUUUCUUUUCGGUUGGUUACUGACUCUUCAUUUCCUGAUUCAACAGACAAUUGCUAUCAUUUCAGUCACAGAAGGCAUCAUUCAACUGGGCUCAUUUCACAAGGUAUCAUCAUCAUCAAUUAAUCAAUCUUUAUGGAAACAUCCUUAACUUUGUAUGUUUUCGUCAAGACCAGAUUGUGGAAGACACAAAUCUGGUGAUCAACAUUCAGAGAAAAUUCAGCUAUCUGCAGAGCAUACCUGGAUCAUUUUCCACUCAAAGAACAAACAUACAGAUCCAACACACAAACGUUGACAGGAAAGAAUCGGCAGCCGAAAAGAGACAGACGAUCGGGAUGAAGAGAUCGUUUGAUCGAAGAACGGAUGAUGAGGAUUUCCCUUUCAAGUCCAUCAACUUAGGAUGGAACAGCCCACAAUGUGGAAGUGGCCCUGAGCAUUUCAUCUUCUCAAUACCGCCUCUCUUGCCCACCAUGUCUUUUAGCUGUAGGCCAAAGCUCCAUUAUUCUCAUGACCGUACUGGAGAUGUAGGAAACUGCUGCAGCAAUGGCAUACCUAGCAACACAAUCAAGUCUGAAGAUGAGGGUAACUAAUUAGAACCUUAAUAUUUAUGUUGGUGCGUAUAUAUGGCUUCUACUUGAUUUACUGCUGUUAAUGAAUAAGCUACCAGUUUCUUUCUGCAGUUAUAUGUGGAAUUACCAUUCGAUGGACUAGGAAAUGUUGUCUUGUUCACACAUACUGCGAAGGAAACUUCAUUACUAAUUUUCUAGCUAAUUGGGCACACUCUGCUCCAUUUGGUUUACAUUUUCUUGAUUCAAUACACUCAUCUGACUCAUAUUUGAUUAUGGUACAAAACUUUGAUUAUUGCUAAGAACUAGAUUAUUUUAAGCGCUACUAUGUUAGGGUCCUAGUUAGAGAUGGGAUUCAGAAUUGAAAGUAGUACGUAACCAAAUUUAAAAUAUUAUUAGAACGAAAUAAAAAAUUUCCUAAUUUCUAAUUGAAUUUAUCACGCACGGCACCGAAAAAAAGAGAACACGUACCCGGGAAUCACCCUCUAGAUUCGUCCCUAAUCACAGUUUGACCCUACACAAUUGAAGAAGAUAAUCAAUCCGUAGGCGGUGACAGUUUUUCCACCACCACUGCUGAUCUUACAUUGACCCUAAUGUUCAAAUUCACUGUUUUGCAAACUAUGGCUUUGACCCUACAUGAAAUUGAACAGUUGGAUAGUUGGAUCGAAUUCUGAGUGCUUUCUCAUCCGGAUGAAAAAAUUAAAUUACAAAGUUAUUUUGAAAAGCAAACUUUUCUAUCAUCAUCUAAAUUUCAUCCAACAUUUUAUUUGCCGUUUAAAACAAGCUUAUAUAUGAUAACAAAAGAUAGUGAUAGAAGGCUAGAAGUAAAGAGUUUAGAUUUAUGUAUUUGGAGAAUUACAAAGGUAACAUUCAAGUAGAAGAAUGUCCCAAGGCCAGCCAAUAAUAGAUACUGCAUUUGGGGGUCACUAAUAUCCCAAGCCUGGCAUUUUACAUACUAUCCAUAUGAAGCGUGAGAAUAAAUAAUCAUACAGUCUUGCUAUUCAAGUCCAAUGAUACAUCCAUCCAUGUACGGGGUCCGUUAUUUACAUAAACCAGUUAUCUGAAUAAAAACCAUAUUCAUCUUCACCAGCUUUGCUCCCCGAUCACUGAGAAUUCAAAUGCAGAGCAGCAAGAGAAGAAACCAAGAGGUAAAGCAGUGAGAGAGAGCAUCAAGCACCGCCACAACAAAUGCCAUCUCCUCUUCGAUCAAACUUCGAAACUUGUUUGCAGUUUAUGCAUUGCUCCUCCUUCCAAGCCCAAGAUUAAAGCGAG
Molecule: long non-coding RNA, 20830 nt
Filed under: Linum usitatissimum (flax)
Lineage: Eukaryota; Viridiplantae; Streptophyta; Magnoliopsida; Malpighiales; Linaceae
Description: long non-coding RNA (LUSI_LNC006494)
Source: RNAcentral